GUACAGAGUAGGGAGAGCAGUUCCCUUUGGUCUCAAGUGCUGCCCUCUGUGUCAAGGGAGCCCCCUGAAAGGAGAAGGAAUUUGCUUAUCUUCCAAGAUCAACCAAGAUCAGCAUAAAAAACACCUUGUGCCCUCCAGGAAUGUCCUGCAUGUGUUGCCAGAACUGGAAGACAAAAGGCAAGUGAAGGUGCAAGCCAGCAAACUGGGAACUUGCAGAUGAAGGGCAGAAUCAAGAGAGCCUUGGGCUAACAGGGUAUUUGUGCAUGCAGGAGGGAAGAGCUGCCCAGCUGAGAUUUAGCAGUGAUAGGAGAAAAGGAAUUUCUCUGUGUUCCUAAGGGAGGACUGGGACUUGGAUUUUAGCCAACCCACAAACCAUUGAGUAUGGUUGGACUGCAAAGAGCAAAGGAAAAGUCACAUGUUGCCAAGACUCAACAAUAACUUCCUUUUUAGGACUUUUGUUUUAUCUGGCUCAUCCUGCACAGCUGUUUUCUCCCUAAUUACUUAGUUCUUCACUCCUGUGUAAUGCAUUAUAAGUGAGUUAAGUCUAGAUGUUUGAGGGCAUGUCUUUGUACUUCUUCUUCAAGGAAAGUGAGAGCAAUUCUACUUUUCAAUUUGGAGUCCCAUCACACAGCAAUAUGGAUCUGUUCUGACUAUCUAUGAAGCAACCUGGAGUCAUUCUGGUUCUGUAGUUGCCUUUUCUGUCUUGGCUCCAAGGGGAAAGGACAACGUCUAUUGGUUGACCUGCUCAUCACAGUACAUUUACUAUAUUCUUUGUAGGAUAAAAUACCAAAGCGGGUUGUUGUUGUUCCUUGGAUCCUUGGAAACUUUUUUUUUUUUUUUUUUUUUUUUUUUUUUAAUAAAAAGCAUUCCUGUUUGUAAUCCCUGAAUUCCAACAGUGAAGAAUGUCUACAAAGAUAUUCCUUCGAUGUAAAAUUCAGUGCAUUGUUUGAAUUAUAUGUUUUAAUGAGGCCCAGGGAGACAAGAUUAAGAAUGAACCAUUAAUUGAACAAUGCUUAUUCUGUGCAAUAAAUGAGAUGCACUCUACGGAAAAAAAAAAUAA
Molecule: long non-coding RNA, 1060 nt
Filed under: Anas platyrhynchos platyrhynchos (common mallard)
Lineage: Eukaryota; Metazoa; Chordata; Aves; Anseriformes; Anatidae
Description: lncRNA (ENSAPLG00000017018.1)
Source: RNAcentral